RNAcentral lists this ribosomal RNA (270 nucleotides) under uncultured archaeon. Its description in RNAcentral is "partial 16S ribosomal RNA". It matches the Rfam family "Archaeal small subunit ribosomal RNA", at positions 477 to 747 of the family's 1478-position model. The record is from RNAcentral.
CAGCCCCUCGAGUGGUGGGGAUGAUUAUUUGGCCUAAAGCGUCCGUAGCCGGCCGAGUAAGUCCCCCGUUAAAUCCAGCGUCUCAAGCGUUGGACUGCGGGAGAUACUACUUGGCUAGAGAGUGGGAGAGGUCAGCGGUAUUCUGGGGGUAGGGGCGAAAUCCUUUGAUCCCCGGAGGACCACCAGUGGCGAAGGCUGCUGACUAGAACACGUCUGACGGUCAGGGACGAAAGCUGGGGUAGCGAACCGGAUUAGAGACCCGAGUAGUCC